ACUCGAGCGCCAGCGAGAGAGCGUUGCCGCAGGCAACGACCCGCAGGGCGAAGCGCGCAGCGCUGAGUCAUCCUUCCCCCACCAGCA
RNAcentral lists this small RNA (87 nucleotides) under Escherichia albertii. Its description in RNAcentral is "partial RtT sRNA". It matches the Rfam family "RtT RNA", at positions 46 to 130 of the family's 130-position model. Rfam says of the family: This family represents a bacterial cis-regulatory element known as RtT RNA. The exact function of RtT is unknown although it is thought that it may be involved in changing the cellular response in relation to amino acid starvation. Lineage: Bacteria; Pseudomonadati; Pseudomonadota; Gammaproteobacteria; Enterobacterales; Enterobacteriaceae. The record is from RNAcentral.